This 76-nucleotide small RNA is filed under the name Xanthomonas floridensis. RNAcentral describes it as "sX9 sRNA". It matches the Rfam family "Xanthomonas sRNA sX9". Lineage: Bacteria; Pseudomonadati; Pseudomonadota; Gammaproteobacteria; Lysobacterales; Lysobacteraceae. The record is from RNAcentral.
AUGUACCACUCGUGCACUCCGGUACCUGCGCGCCGUCCGCACUAACCUGACGACUGCUCGCUACGGUUUGUUAGCC